Long non-coding RNA from Suricata suricatta (meerkat), 402 nucleotides. RefSeq lists it as uncharacterized. The transcript is spliced from 2 exons. The record is from RefSeq and is a predicted model, not a curated record. Lineage: Eukaryota; Metazoa; Chordata; Mammalia; Carnivora; Herpestidae.
AUCCAAGGGCAUCCCAAAGAAGUUCCACACUGAGGCACACUGGAUCUGUGCUAGUGUGGAGGGACAGCAGACCAGCAAUGGCCGAGUGUGGUGCUACAGGGAGCCUCACAGAGUCCCCCACAUUAUGGAAUAAGGCAACAAAUCAGCCAAGGAUCAUCAAGGUCUCCACAGCACAUGGGAGGUCACAGGGCACAGAGCUGGAUACUGAGGCAGUGCAAGGUUUGCAGUCAAAGAUAAUAGAAUGCUCCCAAAGCCCAAGCACGACAGCUCUCGGACAUAGCAGGACUAUAGAUUAACUGUAAACCUCCUAUUCAAAUUCCUCAAGAGAAGAACCUGACGCCAUCAACCAGUCACCAUCCAUGUGGUACACCCAAGUAAACUUUGGCUCUUGAACUCAAAUCA